Molecule: non-coding RNA, 343 nt
Organism: Heterocephalus glaber (naked mole-rat)
Lineage: Eukaryota; Metazoa; Chordata; Mammalia; Rodentia; Bathyergidae
Source: RefSeq, a predicted model, not a curated record
CAACAGAAUAGAGAAUUCUGCCUCGGAACCAGAAUGCUGGACAAAGUAUCUGAGAAGAUCCAGCGGGAGUGGAGGGCAGCAGAAGUGCAGAGGAGCCAACUGACCUGACACUGGAUGAGGACAAUGCCCAGGGAGAGAAGCAGAGACCAGAGGGCUGACUGCCUUUCCCAUUUACCGCUGUGAGCAAGGACACAUCUUGGCUUGGAGGGAAACCAGAAUCUGGAGUGAAUGGACAGAGAGGGCACUUAAAGAACCCAUAGGCCCUAAAUCUAGGUGGAGAAAAUUGUGACUGGCUGGAUUAUAAAACUGCAGAUUCUGAAAAUAAAUCACUCACUUAAAAACA